RNAcentral lists this transfer RNA (73 nucleotides) under Apaloderma vittatum (bar-tailed trogon). It matches the Rfam family "tRNA". From Rfam's summary of the family: Transfer RNA (tRNA) molecules are approximately 80 nucleotides in length. Their secondary structure includes four short double-helical elements and three loops (D, anti-codon, and T loops). The record is from Rfam by way of RNAcentral. Lineage: Eukaryota; Metazoa; Chordata; Aves; Trogoniformes; Trogonidae.
GGCCGGUUAGCUCAGUCGGUUAGAGCGUGGUGCUGGUAACACCAAGGCUGUGGGUUCGAUCCCCACUCGGUCC